Molecule: transfer RNA, 21 nt
Filed under: Themira superba
Lineage: Eukaryota; Metazoa; Arthropoda; Insecta; Diptera; Sepsidae
Description: partial transfer RNA-Tyr
Source: RNAcentral
GAUUAAAUGGCUGAAGUUUAG